GACGAACGCUGGCGGCGUGCCUAAUACAUGCAAGUCGAGCGGGGAUUAUGCUUGAUCGCUUCGGUGAGACGGCAUAUAUCCUAGCGGCGGACGGGUGAGUAACGCGUGGGUAAUCUACCUCGUAGUUCGGGAUAACAGGCCGAAAGGCUUGCUAAUACCGGAUGAGUUCAUGCUUAUGCAUAUAGGCAUGAAGAAAGGGCUAGCCCGCUAUGAGAUGAGCCCGCGUCCCAUUAGCUUGUUGGUGGGGUAAUGGCCUACCAAGGCAACGAUGGGUAGCCGGCCUGAGAGGGUGUACGGCCACACUGGGACUGAGACACGGCCCAGACUCCUACGGGGGCAGCAGUAGGGAAUUUCGGCAAUGGGCGAAAGCCUGACCGAGCGACGCCGCGUGAGGGACGAAGGCCUUCGGGUUGUAAACCUCUGUCUGGGGGAUGAGAACGGACGGUACCCCGGAGGAAGCCCGGCUAACUACGUG
Molecule: ribosomal RNA, 475 nt
Filed under: uncultured bacterium
Lineage: Bacteria
Description: bacterial SSU rRNA
Rfam family: Bacterial small subunit ribosomal RNA
Source: RNAcentral